This 589-nucleotide ribosomal RNA is filed under the name Staphylococcus sp. RNAcentral describes it as "bacterial SSU rRNA". It matches the Rfam family "Bacterial small subunit ribosomal RNA", at positions 337 to 917 of the family's 1533-position model. RNAcentral also lists the same sequence under 1 other name. The record is from RNAcentral. Lineage: Bacteria; Bacillati; Bacillota; Bacilli; Caryophanales; Staphylococcaceae.
UCCUACGGGAGGCAGCAGUAGGGAAUCUUCCGCAAUGGGCGAAAGCCUGACGGAGCAACGCCGCGUGAGUGAUGAAGGUCUUCGGAUCGUAAAACUCUGUUAUCAGGGAAGAACAAAUGUGUAAGUAACUGUGCACAUCUUGACGGUACCUGAUCAGAAAGCCACGGCUAACUACGUGCCAGCAGCCGCGGUAAUACGUAGGUGGCAAGCGUUAUCCGGAAUUAUUGGGCGUAAAGCGCGCGUAGGCGGUUUUUUAAGUCUGAUGUGAAAGCCCACGGCUCAACCGUGGAGGGUCAUUGGAAACUGGAAAACUUGAGUGCAGAAGAGGAAAGUGGAAUUCCAUGUGUAGCGGUGAAAUGCGCAGAGAUAUGGAGGAACACCAGUGGCGAAGGCGACUUUCUGGUCUGUAACUGACGCUGAUGUGCGAAAGCGUGGGGAUCAAACAGGAUUAGAUACCCUGGUAGUCCACGCCGUAAACGAUGAGUGCUAAGUGUUAGGGGGUUUCCGCCCCUUAGUGCUGCAGCUAACGCAUUAAGCACUCCGCCUGGGGAGUACGACCGCAAGGUUGAAACUCAAAGGAAUUGACGGA